RNAcentral lists this ribosomal RNA (253 nucleotides) under uncultured bacterium. RNAcentral's name for it is "partial 16S ribosomal RNA". It matches the Rfam family "Bacterial small subunit ribosomal RNA", at positions 524 to 776 of the family's 1533-position model. The record is from RNAcentral.
UACGGGGGGGGCAAGCGUUGUUCGGAAUUACUGGGCGUAAAGGGCUCGUAGGUGGCCAACUAAGUCAGACGUGAAAUCCCUCAGCUUAACUGGGGAACUGCGUCCGAUACUGGCGGGCUUGAAUCCGGGAGAGGGAUGCGGAAUUCCAGGUGUAGCGGUGAAAUGCGUAGAUAUCUGGAGGAAGGCCGGUGGCGAAGGCGGCGCUCUGGAACAUUUCUGACGCUGAGGCUCGAAAGCGUGGGGAGCAAACAGG